AAAACUUCUUUCUCUUCUCAGUUAUCUCUUCCUUCCUCUCUUCUACUGUUCUUCUCCCUUCUAUUCUGAAUUCUUCUCCCAUUUUCUAUUCUUUUGAGAUUGAUGAUUAAGUCUCAUGACCAGGAGACCUAACUGUUGGAAUCCCUGAAUUACAGCUAUAGCAUAUUAUCAGUGAUGCAGUGCGCAAAUCUAUACCAAACCCGAAAACUUGUGUUUUUCCAUUUUCAUGAGAAUUCCUAAUUCUAAAUGGAUUCUUUAUUUUUCUAGAUAAGUUUUAUUUAUAUUUCUAAUUUCUUUAGGACUCUAAAAUAUUUUUUUUAUUUAAUUUAGAUCUUUAAAUAU
This 342-nucleotide unclassified non-coding RNA is filed under the name Hevea brasiliensis (rubber tree). Lineage: Eukaryota; Viridiplantae; Streptophyta; Magnoliopsida; Malpighiales; Euphorbiaceae. The record is from RNAcentral.